Molecule: ribosomal RNA, 382 nt
Filed under: uncultured eukaryote
Lineage: Eukaryota
Description: partial 18S ribosomal RNA
Rfam family: Eukaryotic small subunit ribosomal RNA
Source: RNAcentral
UGUAAGCGUAUACCAAAGUUGUUGCAGUUAAAACGCUCGUAGUCGGAAUUUGGCAGUUCCGGAUGUGUGCACGUCGUGUGCGCACUUCGCGGGGAUUGCUUUUGUGGUCCUGCGUAGGAUGAGGCACUUUUAUUAGUGAACGUCCUCACGCAACCACUUUUUACUGUGAGAAAAUCAGAGUGCUCAAAGCAGGCAUUUGCCGUGAAUGUAUUAGCAUGGAAUAAUAGAAUAGGACUUGGUUCUAUUUUGUUGGUUUGUUGGGACUGAGUAAUGAUUAAGAGGGGCAGUUGGGGGCAUUUGUAUUUCGGUGCUAGAGGUGAAAUUCUUAGAUUACCGAAAGACAAACUGCUGCGAAAGCGUCUGCCAAGGAUGUUUUCAUUGA